This 450-nucleotide ribosomal RNA is filed under the name uncultured bacterium. RNAcentral's name for it is "SSU rRNA". It matches the Rfam family "Bacterial small subunit ribosomal RNA", at positions 26 to 518 of the family's 1533-position model. The record is from RNAcentral.
AGAGCGAACGCUGGCGGCAGGCUUAACACAUGCAAGUCGAGCGGGCGUAGCAAUACGUCAGCGGCAGACGGGUGAGUAACGCGUGGGAACGUACCUUUUGGUUCGGAACAACCCAGGGAAACUUGGGCUAAUACCGGAUAAGCCCUUACGGGGAAAGAUUUAUCGCCGAAAGAUCGGCCCGCGUCUGAUUAGCUAGUUGGUGAGGUAAUGGCUCACCAAGGCGACGAUCAGUAGCUGGUCUGAGAGGAUGAUCAGCCACAUUGGGACUGAGACACGGCCCAAACUCCUACGGGAGGCAGCAGUGGGGAAUAUUGGACAAUGGGCGCAAGCCUGAUCCAGCCAUGCCGCGUGAGUGAUGAAGGCCCUAGGGUUGUAAAGCUUCUUUUGUGCGGGAAGAUAAUGACGGUACCGCAAGAAUAACGCCCCGGCUAACUUCGCGCCAGCAGCCGC